This 71-nucleotide transfer RNA is filed under the name Marmota monax (woodchuck). It matches the Rfam family "tRNA". From Rfam's summary of the family: Transfer RNA (tRNA) molecules are approximately 80 nucleotides in length. The record is from Rfam by way of RNAcentral. Lineage: Eukaryota; Metazoa; Chordata; Mammalia; Rodentia; Sciuridae.
GAGGUUAUGGCUCAGUGGUAGAGCACUUGCCUAGCAUGUGUGAAGCACUGGGUUCAAUUCUCAGUACCACA